RNAcentral lists this ribosomal RNA (1293 nucleotides) under Triticum aestivum (bread wheat). Its description in RNAcentral is "partial small subunit ribosomal RNA". Lineage: Eukaryota; Viridiplantae; Streptophyta; Magnoliopsida; Poales; Poaceae. The record is from RNAcentral.
AUGACCGGGACAUCCUGGCUAAUUGAUAGCCAAAGAAUUGCUUCGAAAAUAAAAAACGUUUCUGGGUCACGGGAUCUCAGUAAACAAAAAUGGUUGAGCAACCCAACUAAGGAGUGCCCGAAUUGCAGCCACGUCAUUGAUAACAGUGAUGUUGUUCACCAGUGGCCUGGUUUGCCAAAGGGUGUAAAGUUUGAUCCGUCUGACCAGGAACUGCUUGGGCAUUUACUGGCAAAACAUGACAAAGCAGGCUCUCAACCUCACCCAUUCAUCGCUGAAUUUAUUCCAACAGUUGAGGAAGCUGAUGGUAUCUGCUACACUCAUCCACAGAAACUUCCAGGCGUUAAGCAAGAUGGAAGUGUAUCACACUUCUUCCACAGAACAUUUAAAGCAUAUAACACUGGGACGAGGAAGCGUCGAAAGAUCAACACUAGUGAUCUUGCAGAUGUUCGCUGGCACAAGACAGGCAAGACAAAGCCAGUAAUGAUUGAUGGACAGCACCUUGGCUGUAAGAAAAUAAUGGUGCUAUAUAUGAGUACUGUGAAGGGUGGGAAGCCCAAGAAGACUAACUGGGUGAUUCAUCAAUAUCAUCUAGGCACUGGGGAAGAUGAGCAGAAUGGGGAAUAUGUUGUCUCCAAAUUAUUUUUCCAGCAACAGAAUGGGGAAAAGAGUGCAUUAGAGUUAACCAACACUGAUGUGAUGGAAACUACAGUUGCUGUAGCAGAUCUUACUGACCUCCCUGAACCAACCGCGGAAGAAGACGAUGAACGUAUUAGUAGUAUUAGUAACCAAGAGGUUCUUCUUAAUAAUGAAUAUAAUGCUGACGAGGAAGCCCUUCAUAGCCAUGAACAUAAUACUUAUCAGGAAAAUGGAGAUUGUGAAAUAAACAUGGAAGAAAAAGCUGCUGAUGAAAAUGCCAUCUAUCCAUCCUCUGAAAAACCCGAGGAUGGAGAUAAUCCCCCAUCACAAGAUCCAAACUUGUGGGAAGGUGAUUCCCAGUUUCUGUUAGAUUCUCAGCAACUAGCAGAAAACUUGGCCAUUUGUGACGAGUUCCUGCAGAGUCAGACCUCAUGCGGCGAUGGAGAUGAGCCAGGUUUGAUCAAGCCUCGCCUGGCAGUUUAUGCCCAAUUGCCAGUAGAGGACUUGAAGAAAGAUCUGCAAGAAUGCAAGGACUUGGGCCCUUCAGACAAUGCAAUUCUUGAGCCUGAAAACAAUGCUGAACUUCGAUUGAGCCAACUCGAAUUUUCACAGGACAGCUAUACGAUGGGAAUUUUCACAGGGCAGGUGGCUGAUUGA